RNAcentral lists this ribosomal RNA (184 nucleotides) under Helicobacter pylori. RNAcentral's name for it is "partial 23S ribosomal RNA". It matches the Rfam family "Bacterial large subunit ribosomal RNA", at positions 1915 to 2098 of the family's 2925-position model. Lineage: Bacteria; Pseudomonadati; Campylobacterota; Epsilonproteobacteria; Campylobacterales; Helicobacteraceae. The record is from RNAcentral.
AAGCCCGAGUAAACGGCGGCCGUAACUAUAACGGUCCUAAGGUAGCGAAAUUCCUUGUCGGUUAAAUACCGACCUGCAUGAAUGGCGUAACGAGAUGGGAGCUGUCUCAACCAGAGAUUCAGUGAAAUUGUAGUGGAGGUGAAAAUUCCUCCUACCCGCGGCAAGACGGAGAGACCCCGUGGAC